Molecule: ribosomal RNA, 344 nt
Filed under: uncultured Coprococcus sp.
Lineage: Bacteria; Bacillati; Bacillota; Clostridia; Lachnospirales; Lachnospiraceae
Description: bacterial SSU rRNA
Rfam family: Bacterial small subunit ribosomal RNA
Source: RNAcentral
GAUAAACGCUGGCGGCGUGCUUAACACAUGCAAGUCGAACGGAGUAUUCCUCCCGCAGAUUGAAGAAGCUUGCUUCUGAUUGAAGCAUUUGGAAUACUUAGUGGCGGACGGGUGAGUAACGCGUGGGUAACCUGCCUCACACUGGGGGAUAGCAGUUGGAAACGACUGAUAAUACCGCAUAAGCGCACAGUACCGCAUGGUACGGUGUGAAAAACUUCGGUGGUGUGAGAUGGACCCGCGUCUGAUUAGCUAGUUGGUGAGGUAACGGCCCACCAAGGCGACGAUCAGUAGCCGGCCUGAGAGGGUGUACGGCCACAUUGGGACUGAGACACGGCCCAAACUCC